CACCCCUGCACCCGAAGCUCCGCCACCGAGGCCAGCGCCUGCGACCAGGCACGCUGCCUGCGCCCCCAGACACAAACUCGCCGUCGGAGCAGACGGAGACACCCCCCGCGGCGCGGGGGGCCCUACACGCCCUCCAGAGAACCCAGGAAAUGAGGGAGGAGACGCUGGGACGGAGUGGCGACCCUCAGACAUCGCCAUAUACGUCGGGGGCACUGCAUGAGAACCCGCCGCGUCGCUUGGCGAGGCCCGCAAACCUGAAGGCGCCAGAGGCGGAGCAACGUGCGAGACAGGAUGCAGAGAGGCCCCUGGCUCAAGUCUCGGUCGACUUCCAGAACCCGCGCCGGCGUCGCUUGGCAGGCUGCUCACAGAAGCGGUCUGGAGGUUGGCGCUCUGCAGUCCAGCGGCCAGCGGCGCAGAGAAACAGGGAGAAAGCCGCGGUCUGCCCACGCUCCCCUGAUUCGAGCCCGCCCGCGACGACGCCGAAGGAAGGCUGCCGCGCAGCUGCUCAUCCACACUGCCCUCUCGCAAGGCGACGUUAAGACUCGGUCCUGCAGAGAAAGUCGGUCCUUCUGAGUCGCGGCCGAGGCCGCUGCUGUCGCUGGUCGAGACCAGCGAUGAGCCUUCUUCUGAAUCUCUUGGGUACGGGCAAGGAGGCGACUCCAGGAGGGACGGAAACCCGCGGGGAGGCUCGUCAGGUCGGGGCCCGGCUCCGGAGUCGCUGGGCCGCAGAGCAGAACCCUCUGAAAGAUUCACAGCCUCAGUAGACGCCUGGAGAUGCGGAUGACUCAUCUGCAUUGCAUGCGACACGUGGAAAGGGAAGUGGUGGACAGGGUCCAUGUGGGACGAGGUCACGGCCGCAAGGUCGAGAGGCCCGCAUCCCUGCGCCGCGUUCGCGACAGCAUGCAACCCGACAGAUGCUGGAAAAACGUAGCAGCCGCCCGUGGCUCCACUCCCGGGCCGCUGGAGCACGGUUCGCCCCAGCUCUUCGGCGCUUUCCGACUCCCUGCGUGCCUCCUCGCUCGCGAGCUCGAGGCCGCGGUGCCCGUCGGCGGCCCUCGGAUAGCCCACAGCCAGCGCGGGGCCCUGGGGUAUCCCGCCCACACCGAGUCCCGGGCCCUCAGAGUCCAAGCCUCCCCUCUUGCGCGCGGCUUCGGGGGCGGCGAACCCGCCGCCUCGCCCUGCGCCCGGAAGGUCGCCCAAGACCAUCCCGCUGGCCGCUGAAAUCUGCGACAGACAUGGCGGGGCCGACACGGAGGAGAAAGACGCCUCGACCUCAGGACGCGAGCCUCCGGCACCGGUGAGCACCACCGAGGACGGAGAAGGCAACGCUCGCCCCCCGUGCAAACUGCCCCCUAGACCUGGGGCGGCGAGGCUCGAGGUCGCAAGGUCAGAAGAGCCCCCCAGACUAGAAGUUGUGUCUGCUUGAGGGCUCGCGUCUUGCUCGCUGAGGCGCAAGGCGGUCGCAGGUCCAAGCCCCGGAGAAGAGACGGAAGGGCUCCCGUUGAUGAGGACUGCGGGACUCGAGGGCGCAGGAUAGAGACUCGUGAGCAAGGCGCCAUUCUGGAAAACAGGGACAGGCGGCGGCCCAGUUCCCGGCGGGCCUCCAGCCUUUUUUGGCAAGUCGCUCGGCGUCGGAGACUCGCCGACGAGCGCAGUCGGGGGACAUGCGUUAGGGGCGAAAGCGUUGGAGCCGUAGGAGGCCAGAGGCGAGAAGGGUAGGUGCGCACUCGCGGAGACAGGAGAGGAAAGCGCAGACGGCGCGGAACACGGAGGUGGACUAACGAGCGGGCCCGCGGCCACGAGACCAGGACUCUGAGAAGUUCGCCACUUCUUGGCCGGUCGCGGGCUGGGUCCGAGGGCGCUCGAGGCGGGGUCCGCAGGGUCCUGGGGCAGGGACGCAUGAUGCGCGUUGACUCCGCUGCACUCGGCCUCGGCACCAGUCGCCGCUUGCGCCGGGAGGAACUGCGGAGACAUCUGGACGGGCGGGGGAGGCAUUUGUGGGGCGCCAAGACUCGCGAAAGUGAGCCCACGCCUCACGCUGUCUCCGCCCUCGACGGCGUGUGGCCCCGCAGAGAAGAACGAGCACUGGCCGCGGGCAAACUCGCUGCCUGCGACACCUGCGAAAGGGGGUCCGGAGUCGAGUCCUGCGUUUGCGGGAGCUCCGUGAAAGUGCGUUGAGGGGUCCGCGCACUGGGGGGGAAACGGAGAAGCAGCGAGUGAGGAAGAUACUAAGAGAGACACGUUCUGGCUCGCUGCGACGGCCUGCAGCUGCUCCCGCUUUCUCUGUCGAUACUUGCGCGAGGCCACCCGCUGUCGCUCGCGCUUCACCCUCAGCGCCUCAGCUCGAUCCUGCUCCACCGAGGUCGCGGGCGGCGAUCCUCGAGUGCAUGCAGAUGCGAGGAGCUGAGGCACCGAGCUAGAGGGAAGAAAUGCCGCGGAGACGCCGCCUCCGCUGGGCGGGGACUGAUUCACAGGAUGCAUGCUGGAAUGCAGAGAUGCUCAAGUCCGACGGUCCGCGAUCCACAACUGUGGACCUGAGCGUCCUCUUUAGCAUAAUACGCGGCGGCAAAAAGUGUUCCAUCCAAAACAGCUCUAAUCGUACUCGUCGUUGAGCAGCGUUGCCGAGCUGAGGCGCGAGCUCUGAGCUUCCGAGUGCUCACUCCUAGGUGCACGUGCACCUCGAAAGCAGGGGGGGGGGCUCGGAGAAGGAGGGCAACAGAGAAGAGAGUAAGGGGAAAAAAGAAAAGUUACAGGUGAAAUAACGCGACGCACACACACGUAUACAAACGGCGACUGGAGUCACAUGCCUCCGAAUCGGGACACUCGCCGACAAGGAGAGAGACGACGUGCAUGCGACGGAAGGAAACGGGAAACAGACAAAGCCUCCAGCGGAGAGCACCGUCAGCGACGAGAUGGCAUUUUAGAAAAGUGCUCCGAGUCGUUUGGAUCCGCAAGACGUCGAGAAAUCCUUCGAGUUGAACGGGGACGACAGGCACGUCCUCGAAAAGCAGGCCGCCCUCGCGAGACCGACAGUCAAAAGAAGAAUGCACGUUCUCAGCGCCGGCUUUUCUGAACGGCGGUUAACGGUUAUUGGGGGGUCUUUGUACCGGUCUAAAAGUGCGCUCUCGGAAACCGUUUUUCUAGAAACUGGCGCGAUCUCCUGUAUCCUCGUACCACCAGGUUUCCACAACUCUCAGUUCCUCUCUGAGGUUCCCUCUAUUCCCGCGGCUCGAAAUCGCGCAGAUAUCUCAACACCUCACAUCAAUUAUCAUUCCGCUGUCCCGCAGGCGCAGAACGCUAUUCACUGAUGCGUUCCGUGCCCCGUUGUCUGUACAUUAGACAUUUCUAAUCUUUGGCUGGACAGGCGCCAAGAGCGCCGCACAGAGUGCAGCGGGAGGCCAAAGGGAAGGGGAGACGAACGGAGCAUCAACGGAAAAGAAAAGUCGACAGACGCCGUGCCAGGCCAUCCUCUCUUCCACACGGAAGGGUCGACAAAAAGAGGGAGGAACCCGGAAGCCGCGCCUCGGGAACAUCAACGCUGCGCUUCAGAGGGGGGAAGCUCGAGGCUCUGCUCCAGCAUUGCGGAUGGCGGGACGAACGUGGGAUGUGUGAAGAGGAGUGGCAGGGACAAAGUCCCUUGAGACGAGAAAAAUAAACGCGUGAAGGGGUUUCCGAAAAAGCAAAAUCGCGACAGACAUCGAGCGCGAAAAAAGGUGGAACGCCUGCAACUCAAAACGCCAGGACGGAGCGGCCGCCUGUCUGGCUAGCUGUCUCGCAAGUUCCCUUUUCCUCGCGAAUCUACUCCUCGAAAAAAGAAACUUACCGGCACUUCGGGGACUCGGGAAUAUAAAGACUGUCUUUCUUUUCGCGUCGCCUCUUGCAGAGCCAAAGUGGACUGCAACACAUGCAGAACGCAAGCACGGUGCGCAACGUCGCACCGCAGGCUUUGCGAGUCUCUGCGCGGGACCCAUCGAAGCUUCUCAAAAGAAACCGCCGCGUUAAACGUCUCGCCAUUCUCUCAGACCUGGUAGAGGGAAAAAGGACGACUCUCCUGUUACAGUCCGUCUUCCUUUUGACUUGGACUCCCCAAAGCCGUGUUUUCGGUGAAGCAAGCACACUCGGGAAUCUUCAGAGACCCGCCUUGGUGCGCUGUCCUACAUUCGGUAGUCCAUGCCUUGAACACCACACAUGCUUUCUUUUAUGGUUUACUUUCAUGAUUUCAGACUAGUUUAAGAGUCCAAAUGAUUGGCCGAGUAGUUAGCGUCAAACGUGUCCGACCAAGUCUCCACGUCGCUGCAGAGAGGGGUAUGAGUGGCUUGUGCCUCCUUGGUUCCCACAGACAUUGAACAGAAAGGACUGAAGACGAGUUUCAUCUGAAUUAUCGUUGAUUUUCUUCGACAAGUGAUUCAGAGAAGAGUAUUUUAGGUCGUGUUCAAAAACAAUACGAAAAAGUAGUGCGCCCUCCACACUGUUGCCGAGUGUGCCUAAAUUUUUUCAACGACCUCUGUGUCAAAGCCAUCUCAUGACCUAGUACUUAGGUAAACAAGAAGUUUUCCCAAUGGGGUGAACUGACGGCUCGUUCUCGCAAACAGCUCUCUCUAAGCGUUCUUCUGG
RNAcentral lists this long non-coding RNA (4614 nucleotides) under Toxoplasma gondii VEG. The record is from RNAcentral. Lineage: Eukaryota; Apicomplexa; Conoidasida; Eucoccidiorida; Sarcocystidae.